Molecule: ribosomal RNA, 380 nt
Filed under: uncultured Candidatus Brocadia sp.
Lineage: Bacteria; Pseudomonadati; Planctomycetota; Candidatus Brocadiia; Candidatus Brocadiales; Candidatus Brocadiaceae
Description: bacterial SSU rRNA
Rfam family: Bacterial small subunit ribosomal RNA
Source: RNAcentral
AUGUUAAUAGCGUCCUUGCUUGACUAAGGCUCCGGAGGAAGCCACGGCUAACUCUGUGCCAGCAGCCGCGGUAAUACAGAGGCGGCAAGCGUUGUUCGGAAUUAUUGGGCGUAAAGAGCACGUAGGCGGCCGCGUAAGUCGGUUGUGAAAGCCUUCCGCUCAACGGAAGGACGGCAUCCGAUACUGCAUGGCUCGAGUGCGGGAGGGGAGAGUGGAACUUCUGGUGGAGCGGUGAAAUGCGUAGAUAUCAGAAGGAACACCGGCGGCGAAGGCGACUCUCUGGUCCGUAACUGACGCUGAGUGUGCGAAAGCUAGGGGAGCAAACGGGAUUAGAUACCCCGGUAGUCCUAGCCGUAAACGAUGGGCACUAAGUAGAGGGA